UUUAAAUGGCCGCAGUAUACUAACUGUGCAAAGGUAGCAUAAUCAUUAGUCUUUUAAUUGAAGGCUGGUAUGAAUGGUUGGACGAGAUAUUAACUGUUUCAUGAAAAUUUAAAUUAGAAUUUUAUUUUUUAGUUAAAAAGCUAAAAUUUGUUUAAAAGACGAGAAGACCCUAUAAAUCUUUAUAUUUAAUUUAUUAUAUUUAAAUAGAUUAUUUUUGUUAUAAUAAUAAAUAAUAUUUUAUUGGGGUGAUAUUAAAAUUUAAUAAACUUUUAAUUGUUUAAAUCAUUAAUUUAUGAUUAAUUGAUCCGUUAUUAACGAUUAAAAAAAUAAGUUACUUUAGGGAUAACAGCGUAAUUUUUUUGGAGAGUUCAUAUUGAUAAAAAAGAUUGCGACCUCGAUGUUGGAUUAAGAUAUAGUUUUAGGUGUAGCCGCUUAAAUUUUAAGUCUGUUCGACUUUUAA
RNAcentral lists this ribosomal RNA (460 nucleotides) under Cordilura varipes. Its description in RNAcentral is "partial 16S ribosomal RNA". It matches the Rfam family "Bacterial large subunit ribosomal RNA", at positions 1922 to 2591 of the family's 2925-position model. The record is from RNAcentral. Lineage: Eukaryota; Metazoa; Arthropoda; Insecta; Diptera; Scathophagidae.